UACGUAGGGGGCAAGCGUUGUCCGGAAUUAUUGGGCGUAAAGCGCGCGCAGGCGGCUAUUUAAGUCUGGUGUUUAAGCCCGGGGCUCAACCCCGGUACGCACUGGAAACUGGGUGGCUGGAGUGCAGGAGAGGGGAGUGGAAUUCCACGUGUAGCGGUGAAAUGCGUAGAGAUGUGGAGGAACACCAGUGGCGAAGGCGACUCUCUGGCCUGUAACUGACGCUGAGGCGCGAAAGCGUGGGGAGCAAACAGG
RNAcentral lists this ribosomal RNA (252 nucleotides) under uncultured Paenibacillus sp. RNAcentral describes it as "partial 16S ribosomal RNA". It matches the Rfam family "Bacterial small subunit ribosomal RNA", at positions 524 to 776 of the family's 1533-position model. Lineage: Bacteria; Bacillati; Bacillota; Bacilli; Caryophanales; Paenibacillaceae. The record is from RNAcentral.